This 492-nucleotide ribosomal RNA is filed under the name uncultured bacterium. RNAcentral describes it as "partial 16S ribosomal RNA". It matches the Rfam family "Bacterial small subunit ribosomal RNA", at positions 29 to 507 of the family's 1533-position model. The record is from RNAcentral.
AGUGAACGCUGGCGGUAGGCCUAACACAUGCAAGUCGAACGGCAGCACAGUAAGAGCUUGCUCUUACGGGUGGCGAGUGGCGGACGGGUGAGGAAUACAUCGGAAUCUACUUUUUCGUGGGGGAUAACGUAGGGAAACUUACGCUAAUACCGCAUACGACCUACGGGUGAAAGCAGGGGAUCUUCGGACCUUGCGCGAUUGAAUGAGCCGAUGUCGGAUUAGCUAGUUGGCGGGGUAAAGGCCCACCAAGGCGACGAUCCGUAGCUGGUCUGAGAGGAUGAUCAGCCACACUGGAACUGAGACACGGUCCAGACUCCUACGGGAGGCAGCAGUGGGGAAUAUUGGACAAUGGGCGCAAGCCUGAUCCAGCCAUACCGCGUGGGUGAAGAAGGCCUUCGGGUUGUAAUGCCCUUUUGUUAGGAAAGAAAAGCAGCAGGUUAAUACCCCGCUGUUCUGACGGUACCCAAAGAAUAAGCACCGGCUAACUUCGUG